CUAGGAUGAACGCUGGCGGCGUGCUUAACACAUGCAAGUCGAACGGAGCUUAGAAGGAAGCUUGCUUUCAUUUAAGCUUAGUGGCGGACGGGUGAGUAACGCGUGAGCAACCUGCCCUCGAGUGGGGAAUAACAUCGAGAAAUCGGUGCUAAUACCGCAUAAUGUCGAGAGACCGCAUGAUCUUUCGACCAAAGGAUUUAUUCGCUUGAGGAUGGGCUCGCGUCCGAUUAGCUAGUUGGUGAGGUAACGGCCCACCAAGGCUUCGAUCGGUAGCCGAACUGAGAGGUUGAUCGGCCACAUUGGGACUGAGACACGGCCCAGACUCCUACGGGAGGCAGCAGUGGGGAAUAUUGGGCAAUGGGCGAAAGCCUGAACCCCAGCAACGCCGCGUGAAGGAUGAAGGUCUUCGGAUUGUAAACUUCUUUGAUUGGGGAAGAAUAAAAUGACCUACCCAAAGAACAAGCCACGGCUAACUACGUGCCAGCAGCAGC
This 491-nucleotide ribosomal RNA is filed under the name uncultured bacterium. RNAcentral describes it as "bacterial SSU rRNA". It matches the Rfam family "Bacterial small subunit ribosomal RNA", at positions 26 to 518 of the family's 1533-position model. The record is from RNAcentral.